AAAAAAAAAAAAAAAAAUCCAUCUCAUGUAAUUGUGAAUUGAAUAUUGAAUGACUAUAAAAAGAAAGAAAAAGAAAGAACGAAGAAUUAAAAUAAAGGUUCAAAAUCUAAGAUAAGAACAAAAAUUGUAUGUAUUCCCCCCACACUACAUGGGUAGAAACGAAAAAAAGUAAAUAUCGAAGUAAUCGGGAUAAUUCAAUAAAAAUUAUUCAGUUUUGAAUUUUGAAUUUCACUUCGACUAGAUAA
RNAcentral lists this long non-coding RNA (245 nucleotides) under Trifolium pratense (red clover). RNAcentral describes it as "long non-coding RNA (TPRA_LNC011636)". The record is from RNAcentral. Lineage: Eukaryota; Viridiplantae; Streptophyta; Magnoliopsida; Fabales; Fabaceae.